Molecule: small nucleolar RNA, 106 nt
Filed under: Madurella mycetomatis
Lineage: Eukaryota; Fungi; Ascomycota; Sordariomycetes; Sordariales
Description: Small nucleolar RNA Z13/snr52
Rfam family: Small nucleolar RNA Z13/snr52
About the family: Z13 or snr52 is a member of the C/D class of snoRNA which contain the C (UGAUGA) and D (CUGA) box motifs. Most of the members of the box C/D family function in directing site-specific 2'-O-methylation of substrate RNAs.
Source: Rfam by way of RNAcentral
UCGGCCUAGCAUGAUGAAAUAUUUCGGAUGUAAAACUUUACUUUCUGAAAUGCGCAAACAAAACAAUGUUGAGAUUUCCGUUGCCUUCCUUCUGAUCAUACUGCCU